AUUGCUAUAUUAAAUUUAUAAGUUAAAAAAUAUCCAAAUUUUAUGCUAAAAAAACCAAAUAAAUAAUUAAAAUAAUAGUCAAAUACCAUUACAUUCAUUACCAUUAAAAUAGUCAUUAGCAUACCAUUUAUACAUUCAAAUACUUAAAAUACCAUUACAAUACAAUGACAAAAGCUAAGAACCGGUCAAUAACAUAACAUUUAUUUAGUGUUCUAAAACAAAAACUAAGAAAUACUUUGUCGAUAACCGGACGAAUUGAUUUGUUUCAUAAAGGCCGCCAAUUGUCGUUGCACUUGCAAUCACAUUUCAUUUCACAUUUGUUACAUUUGCGAAUCCAUUUGACUUUGCUUUUCAUCAAUGGCUUGUUGCAUGUUUGACACUUUUUGUCGCAACUCAUUAACCUAAAAAUAGCAAGACAAACACAUAAAGUUAGUAAAUGUAAUUCAACUUUAAACCAUGAUAGCAAUGUACUUUACUUUUAAUAUGCAUAAUAAUAACAUACUAUAUUUUUACCCAUUAUACCAUUAUACUUUACAUCCUAGUGAAUCUCUUUGCAUACAUUCAUUCUCUAGUGAAUCUCUUUGCAUACAUUCAUUCUUUAUUUGAUGUCGUUUCAAUCUAUAUGCAACAUUUAACCUAUCAUUCUAAUUAAUUAAACCUUCACUACAAAUAAAAUUACCUUUAGUGGCAUAUUACUUAUUGUGCCAUUGUAUUGUGCUUUUAGUGGCACUUAUUUUUUUUUGUUCCUCUACAUCUUGAAAAUUUUGUUGCUGCUUCAAAUUUUUCUGUGGCGCUCAUCUUAAAUCGUUUUAAGUUUUAACUUGUCGAAAUUCAACAUAUUCUCCCAUAAAACAGAUUGUCAUUUUGUGUAAAUAUGUUCUCUAUGGUUUAUAAUAUUAUCUAAAAUUUCAAAACAUGAAAUCCAAAUGGGAAAGCUAUAGUGUAAAUAUGUCCUUUGGCUGUCUAAAAUAACAUCAAAUGUAGAAGAAAUAAAAUCUAAUACAAUAAAAGAAAGAAAGCACAUAAAGUUGCUCUGUUAGAAGAGCUACAUAAAACCAAAGGAUGAACAGUUUAGCAUAUACACAAUAUGCAACCAAAAUUUAAGAUAUAUACAACCACAAACAAUUUAUUUAACUUAGAAUGUACCAAAAGCAAGAUUUAGAGAUAAUGCCAUACGUAAACUACAGUUCUGAAAAAUUGGAGUCUUGUACAAGUGUGAGCAAACUGAAAUCGAAAUACAUACCUGAAGGUGUCGACGAUGAGGGUGUAGGACAGCGACGGUGGUGGUGGUUCGGGACAACGCUGGUGGUGGUGUGCGACAGCGACGGUUGGAGGGCAAACUUGCAACUGAUGGUAAUGGGAUAUCGGAGACAGAGCUCGGUACAAUAUCUAACCGUGGUAGAUGAGAUAUGAAGAAAUCGGAGAUGACGGCGGCCACAAGGCUUUCCAACAAGGCGGAGGUUUAAUUGUUGGCGGUGGCGGAUGUCGGAGACGGUGACUGUGGUAGUGGGAUAUCGGAGACGGAUAUCAGAGAUGGAGCUCAAUCGUUGGCGGUAGCGGCAAAAAGGCAUUCAAACAAAGCGGAUGUUCAAUCAAUCGGUGGCUGCAAGUUGGACCGGUGGUAGAUGUAUAUGUGAUGGCGAUGGCAGAGGAAGAUGAAGGAGAAGGAGGGGCGACGUGUGAGAGAUCAGGAAACUAAGAUAAAGGGGGAUUAACCUAAAAAAUUUCAUUGAAGCGGGAUAUUUAAUUUUUUCGUUCGGUUGGUAUUCCGUAGGAGAUUUCCUACGGAUUUCCUACUGAAUUUAAUAAAAUACUUUUUAUUUAUUUGUGUCC
Molecule: long non-coding RNA, 1833 nt
Filed under: Lactuca sativa (garden lettuce)
Lineage: Eukaryota; Viridiplantae; Streptophyta; Magnoliopsida; Asterales; Asteraceae
Description: long non-coding RNA (LSAT_LNC002286)
Source: RNAcentral